GAAAAUUAUAGUAUCUAGCUCAAAAUUUUCUAGAUUUGUCACUCUUCAGUACUGACACUAGUUCAGAGAGCUUAAAUUUUAAAAUCAAAUGGAAAAUGCUACACGCGAUUUCCAGUUUCAAACAAACAAAGAACCGGAAUGCAAAAAUCAAGUCACAUCUUAGAGGAGGAUUGUGAAGUAAGCAAGAAAUGAAUCAAUAACUAUCUCUCAUGAUUUA
Molecule: unclassified non-coding RNA, 217 nt
Filed under: Hevea brasiliensis (rubber tree)
Lineage: Eukaryota; Viridiplantae; Streptophyta; Magnoliopsida; Malpighiales; Euphorbiaceae
Source: RNAcentral